GACGAACGCUGGCGGCGUGCCUAAUACAUGCAAGUCGAGCGGACGAUUGAAGAGCUUGCUCUUCAAUCGUUAGCGGCGGACGGGUGAGUAACACGUGGGCAACCUGCCUUAACGACUGGGAUAACUCCGGGAAACCGGGGCUAAUACCGGAUAACAUCUAGCACUUCCUGGUGCCAGAUUAAAAGAGGGCCUCUGGCUCUCACGUGAAGAUGGGCCCGGGGCGCAUUAGCUAGUUGGAGAGGUAACGGCUCCCCAAGGCGACGAUGCGUAGCCGACCUGAGAGGGUGAUCGGCCACACUGGGACUGAGACACGGCCCAGACUCCUACGGGAGGCAGCAGUAGGGAAUCUUCCGCAAUGGACGAAAGUCUGACGGAGCAACGCCGCGUGAGUGACGAAGGGUUUCGGCUCGUAAAGCUCUGUUAUGAGGGAAGAACAAGUGCCAUUCAAAUAGGUUGGCACCUUGACGGUACCUCAUCAGAAAGCCACGGCUAACUACGUGCCAGCCGCCGCCGUAA
This 516-nucleotide ribosomal RNA is filed under the name uncultured bacterium. RNAcentral describes it as "partial 16S ribosomal RNA". It matches the Rfam family "Bacterial small subunit ribosomal RNA", at positions 28 to 523 of the family's 1533-position model. The record is from RNAcentral.